Molecule: ribosomal RNA, 272 nt
Filed under: uncultured bacterium
Lineage: Bacteria
Description: partial 16S ribosomal RNA
Rfam family: Bacterial small subunit ribosomal RNA
Source: RNAcentral
UACGUAGGGUGCAAGCGUUGUUCGGAAUCAUUGGGCGUAAAGCGCGUGUAGGUGGCUAGUUAAGUCGAUUGUGAAAGCCCUGAGCUCAACUCAGGAAGUGCAGUCGAAACUGGCUGGCUAGAAGAUAGUAGAGGAAGGUGGAAUUCCAAGUGUAGAGGUGAAAUUCGUAGAUAUUUGGAGGAAUACCGGCGGCGAAGGCGGCCUUCUGGGGCUAUUCUUGACACUGAGACGCGAAAGCGUGGGGAGCAAACAGGAUUAGAUACCCCUGUAGU